Molecule: transfer RNA, 75 nt
Filed under: Candidatus Uhrbacteria bacterium CG_4_10_14_0_2_um_filter_41_21
Lineage: Bacteria; Candidatus Uhriibacteriota
Also listed under: 4 other names
Description: tRNA-Lys
Rfam family: tRNA
About the family: Transfer RNA (tRNA) molecules are approximately 80 nucleotides in length. Their secondary structure includes four short double-helical elements and three loops (D, anti-codon, and T loops).
Source: RNAcentral
GUGCCGGUAGCUCAGCGGUAGAGCAGGAGACUCUUAAUCUCUUGGUCGUGGGUUCGAUCCCCACCCGGCGCACCA